UACGUAGGGUGCAAGCGUUAAUCGGAAUUACUGGGCGUAAAGCGUGCGCAGGCGGUUUCGUAAGUCUGAUGUGAAAUCCCCGGGCUUAACCUGGGAAUUGCAUUGGAGACUGCGAGGCUAGAAUCUGGCAGAGGGGGGUAGAAUUCCACGUGUAGCAGUGAAAUGCGUAGAGAUGUGGAGGAACACCGAUGGCGAAGGCAGCCCCCUGGGUCAAGAUUGACGCUCAUGCACGAAAGCGUGGGGAGCAAAC
Molecule: ribosomal RNA, 250 nt
Filed under: uncultured bacterium
Lineage: Bacteria
Description: partial 16S ribosomal RNA
Rfam family: Bacterial small subunit ribosomal RNA
Source: RNAcentral